GAUGAAGAACGUAGCGAAAUGCGAUACUUGGUGUGAAUUGCAGAAUCCCGUGAACCAUCGAGUCUUUGAACGCAAGUUGCGCCCGAAGCCACUAGGCCGAGGGCACGCCUGCCUGGGCGUCACACGCCGUUGCCCCCCCAUCUACUCCUUCGGGAUUGCGGGGGGGCGGAUGAUGGCCUCCCGUGCGCCUAGCCGCGCGGUUGGCAUAAAUACCAAGUCCUCGGCGACGCACGCCACGACAAUCGGUGGUUGCGAAACCUCGGUUGCCCGUCGUGUGCGUUCGUCGCGCAUCGAGGGCUCGAAAAAAUGCUCGGCUCCGGCUGGGCUUUCAACGCGACCCCAGGUCAGGCGGGGUUAUCCGCUGAAUUUAAGCAUAUCAAUAAGCGGAGGA
This 391-nucleotide unclassified non-coding RNA is filed under the name soil metagenome. Its description in RNAcentral is "partial contains 5.8S ribosomal RNA, internal transcribed spacer 2, and large subunit ribosomal RNA". The stretch from base 1 to 122 matches the Rfam family "5.8S ribosomal RNA", at positions 35 to 154 of the family's 154-position model. The record is from RNAcentral.